Molecule: ribosomal RNA, 422 nt
Filed under: uncultured cyanobacterium
Lineage: Bacteria; Bacillati; Cyanobacteriota
Description: bacterial SSU rRNA
Rfam family: Bacterial small subunit ribosomal RNA
Source: RNAcentral
GGGGAAUUUUCCGCAAUGGGCGAAAGCCUGACGGAGCAAUACCGCGUGAGGGAGGAAGGCUCUUGGGUUGUAAACCUCUUUUCUCAAGGAAGAUAGUGACGGUACUUGAGGAAUCAGCAUCGGCUAACUCCGUGCCAGCAGCCGCGGUAAUACGGAGGAUGCAAGCGUUAUCCGGAAUGAUUGGGCGUAAAGCGUUCGCAGGUGGCAUUGAAAGUCUGCUGUUAAAGAGUCUGGCUCAACCAGAUAUAGGCAGUGGAAACUACAAAGCUAGAGUGCGGUAGGGGCAGAGGGAAUUCCUGGUGUAGCGGUGAAAUGCGUAGAGUUCAGGAAGAACACCGGUGGCGAAAGCGCUCUGCUAGGCCGCAACUGACACUGAGGGACGAAAGCUAGGGGAGCGAAUGGGAUUAGAUACCCCAGUAGUC